Molecule: ribosomal RNA, 1437 nt
Filed under: metagenome
Description: bacterial SSU rRNA
Rfam family: Archaeal small subunit ribosomal RNA
Source: RNAcentral
CUGGUUGAUCCUGCCAGAGCUAUCUGCUAUGGGGGUUAGAUUAAGUCAUGCUAGUUAAAGUAGCUUCGGCUACUUGGCAAAAUGCUGAGUAACGCGUAGAUAAUCUACCCUACAGUUCAGGAUAAUCCCGGGAAACUGGGGCUAAACCUGAAUAGUUGUUAUUUGUUGGAAUACGGUAACAAUGAAAGGUAACGCUGUAGGAUGAGUCUGCGUCCGAUUAUGGUCGUUGUUGGGGUAAUGGCCCAACAAGCCUAGGAUCGGUAGGGGCCGUGAGAGCGGUAUCCUCCAGACGCGUACUGAGACAAGGACGCGCGCCUUACGAGGUGCAGCAGGCGCGAAAAUUGACCUAUGCACGAAAGUGUGAGUCAGUAACCCCCAGUGCCAUCUUCACGGAUGGCUUUUUUUUCAAGCGUAAAAAACUUGACGAAUAAGUAGAGGGCAAGACCGGUGCCAGCCGCCGCGGUAAAACCGGCUCUACGAGUGGAUAGCGCUAUUACUGGGGCUAAAGCGUCCGUAGGCGGAUUGGUAGGUUCCUCAUUAAAGACCUGGUCUUAAGCUAGGAAAUCUGAGGAAUACCACCUUUCUUGGGAACGGAAGAGGUAACCGGUACGUUAGGAGCAGGGGUGAAAUCCUAUAAUCCCUAACGGACCACCGAUGGCGAAGGCAGGUUACUAGGACGUGUCCGACGCUGAUGGACGAAAGCUAGGGUAGCGAGCCGGAUUAGAUACCCGGGUAGUCCUAGCUGUAAACGAUGGUCACUAAGUGUUUGGGGGCCUUAUGGCUUCCAAGUGCCGAAGCGAAGGCGUUAAGUGACCCCCCUGGGAAGUACGGUCGCAAGACUGAAACUUAAAGGAAUUGGCGGGAAAAUACCACAACGAGUGGAACCUGCGGCUUAAUUGGAUUCAACACCGGAAAACUCACCCGGGUCUACCAACUCUUGAUAGCCAAGCUGAUGACUUUGCUUGAGGUUGGAGAGCUGGUGCAUGGCCGUUUCAAGCUCGUGCCGUGAGGUGUCAACUUAAGUGUUGCAACGAGCGAGCUCCCUGUGAUUAGCUGCCAGCAAGCCCUUCGGGGUGUUGGGGACACUAAUCAGACUGCACGCGCUAAGUGUGAGGAAGGUGGGGGCCACAGCAGGUCAGUAUGCCGCGAAUAUCCGGGGCCGCACGCGGGUUACAAUGGGUGCGACAGAACGGAUCCUACAUCGAAAGGUGACGGUAAUCGUUAAACGCACUCUCAGUCGGAAUUGAGGGCUGCAACUCGCCCUCAUGAACUUGGAAUUCGUAGUACUCGCAUGUCAUUAACGCGCGGGGAAUACGUCCCUAUUUUUUGCACACACCGCCCGUCGCAGCACGAGAGACUGCUUUCGAUGAGGCCGCCCCUCUACGGAGAGGUGUUCGAAUCGAGGGUAGUUGAUUGGGCUGAAGUCGUAACAAGGUA